GAGAUUAACAUUCAGCUAGAACAAAACAAGUAGAGGAUUGAAGAGUUAAACCUCAAUAUAGACGGACAAUUGAUUGAUUCACUACUUUGAACUCGAGAUGUAAUGAACCGCAGACGGGAACCCCAAAUCGGCACCAAAAAUCUAAAACCAUCAAUGAACUCGAAUCAACCUCGACUAAACUUCGUUCCCAUACUCGAAUAAGCAGAAAUCAAAACAAAUGAUGAAACAGAAACAACUUCGUCGAUAGAUUCAACCUCAAUGAGGGAGGGGGCCUUUUCGACUUGAAUUAGAUACGUGCUGAACAUAACCCUUGAACCCGAAGCAGAACUACCACGAACCGACAAACCCAAGCAUACUUCGAUUCAGCAUUCCAACACAAACUUAACGGCAUAACUUGAACCAUUAACUUUAAUUUUGUAAAAACUCAUACAGAGACAAACAAUCAGAUCUAAAGCUGAAAUUUCAGUCAAAUAAUAUGCGAAAAAGUGAAAUACAACUACUUAAGCACAAGAAACAAGUCUCGAAAUUCAGUGACAAGCAAAGAGAACUUUCGAAACCAUAAGCUUCAUUAAAACAUUUCAUUAACUAAAGAGAACUUGGAAACCAUAAGCUUCAUUAAAACAUUUCCUUAAUGUAACAGUGGAAAGAAAUCAGAUAUACACAGCUCUUGCUUCUGUAAUCCAUCGAGAAAGAAUAACAAAAACUAAGAAAGAACUUUCGACCGGGACUAAAACCUGGAACCUCGACGAACUCAACAAAUGACGACCUCGAAAGGAUGGUGGUUUUUAGUCGAGCUACGGUGGUGACAGAAUGAUGUGGUGAAGUUGCAACUGUGUGUGGCUAUUUUUUCCGGCGGGCUGGGUCGUUUUGUUCAUUGGAAGUUAACGGUUGAAGCUUCUCUUUUGCUCUAGGGGUAUCUCAUGGUGAUGAAGAGGAAGCAACAUGGAGAGGGCUCUAGGUUUUCUCCAUGAAGAAGAUGAGAGAGGUAAAAUGGAGAAGAUGAAGCAGAAGGGGUCGUUUGGACGUGAGGGAGGACUGGUCGACGCUGGUCGUUUCGUUGUGACAGUAGGGUGGCUGGGUUCAGCUCAUUUGGGGUGGUUGCUGGAGGUUGAUGAUGGAAAUGGCUGGAGAAGAUGACUGAAGCGGCUGGAGCAGUGACGGGGUGAGGUGGUCGUCCUUGGUGUUAUGCGGCUGCCAUUGAGAUAAAAGUUGCUAGGUUUUUUUGGUUUUUCUUGAGAAAGACGACUGAACAAGAAGAAGCGUGUAUGUCCUCCUUCUUUUAAUCACUGUAGCGGCUUUCCUCC
RNAcentral lists this long non-coding RNA (1304 nucleotides) under Nicotiana benthamiana. Its description in RNAcentral is "long non-coding RNA (NBEN_LNC021271)". The record is from RNAcentral. Lineage: Eukaryota; Viridiplantae; Streptophyta; Magnoliopsida; Solanales; Solanaceae.